Molecule: ribosomal RNA, 484 nt
Filed under: uncultured bacterium
Lineage: Bacteria
Description: partial 16S ribosomal RNA
Rfam family: Bacterial small subunit ribosomal RNA
Source: RNAcentral
GACGAACGCUGGCGGCGUGCUUAACACAUGCAAGUCGAACGAUGAAGCCGGAGCUUGCUCUGGUGAAUUAGUGGCGAACGGGUGAGUAACACGUGAGUAACCUGCCCUUGACUCUGGGAUAACUGCGGGAAACUGUAGCUAAUACCGGAUACGACCCUCGGAGGCAUCUCCUGGGGGUGGAAAGAAUUUCGGUCAAGGAUGGACUCGCGGCCUAUAAGCUAGUUGGUGAGGUAAAGGCUCACCAAGGCGACGACGGGUAGCCGGCCUGAGAGGGUGACCGGACACACUGGGACUGCGAAACGGCCCAGACUCCGACGGGAGGCAGCAGAGGGGAAUAUUGCACGAUGGGGGCAAGCCUGAUGCAGCAACGCCGCGUGAGGGAUGACGGCCUUCGGGUUGUAAACCUCUUUUGGCAGGGAAGAAGCGAAAGUGACGGUGCCUGCAGAAAAAGCACCGGCUAACUACGUGCCAGCCGCCGCGGUAA